AGGAAAUCUUUAAAAACAACAGGAAACUAGCAAAUUGGGUCUUUGGCCGGUGGGCACACCCAAGGGAAGGAACCAAAGACCUCAGGGGAGGAACAGCCCUGGUUUUGAAGGCUUAACUUGAAAAGAAACAGUUUUAGGGCUGUGUGGAGAGAGUGAUGGACUGAAGAUACAGCAUGAUCACUCAAGAGCUGUAUUAUGUAUUUCAAACACUGAGAUGGAGUUAUGUCCUUGCUACUUCUCCAAGCAAAAUAGCUAAAGGCUUCCUUAGGGGAUGUAAAUGCAACUGAAUAAUUUGAAUUUGUGGAAUGGAUGAAAUCCGUCCUUCUGCAGAGAUCCAGCGCAACAACACAAGCCUUCACUUCUACCUCUGGGGCUUGCAUGGAACUUAAAUGAUGCAUAAAUCCUGCAGGGGCCCUCUGAACAAGGAUGAGUUUCUGCCCAUCACGCAGAUCCAGAAUCCUUUGCAGCAGAGCUGCGCCAGUCAUUGCAAAUAGGGGGCUAGGUAGCUGGUAACGGACAAGCCCCCUCCCCGCAGUCUGAUGGGAGUCCCAGGC
Molecule: non-coding RNA, 554 nt
Organism: Pelodiscus sinensis (Chinese soft-shelled turtle)
Lineage: Eukaryota; Metazoa; Chordata; Testudines; Trionychidae
Source: RefSeq, a predicted model, not a curated record